RNAcentral lists this long non-coding RNA (1539 nucleotides) under Manihot esculenta (cassava). Its description in RNAcentral is "long non-coding RNA (MESC_LNC010681)". The record is from RNAcentral. Lineage: Eukaryota; Viridiplantae; Streptophyta; Magnoliopsida; Malpighiales; Euphorbiaceae.
UAACUAUUCCUUUAUGAGUUCUGUAAAACAAAAGUAGUCUUGGUGAGUAAGUAGGGAAUUAGAUGGGCAGCCAACAAAAAAUGGAUUUGUGCUUAGUGGUUAUCCUAUUUUUUAAGGGACAUAAAUAAGAUAGAAAAUGAUCACUUACAAAUGUGAUCCAUACCAAAAAAAGUGGAAGUUGCUGCAAACAGCAACUAAAAAGGAAAAAACAGUUGAUAUCAUAUUUUCUUUCAAAAAGGGGGGAAAAAGAAGAUAACCAUGAGGUCUGUUAAAUUUGGGCCAGACCUAAUUCACCCCAAAAGCUAGCUCAAAGGGGAGGAGUGCCUAUGGCCCAUAUAAGGAGCACAUUACCCCUUUCCUCAACCGUUGUGGGAUUCAACACACCCCCUCACGCCCAGAAUUUUUACUGGUGCGUGGCACAUUUAUGGGGCGCCCAACAUCGGAUGGGGAGGCUUUGAUACCAUGUUAAUUUGGGUCAGGCCUAACUCACCCCAAAAGCUAGCUCAAGGGGGAGGUUUACUUAUGACCCAUAUAAGGGGCACAUUACCCCUUUCCACAAUCGAUGUGGGAUUCAACAAGGUCAAAGUUAGUUGAUUUGAGAUGCCUCAUGAUCAUAACCCAAUUCCACAACUUGGUCAAUUAGUAAUUUGAUAAGAGUUUUGUAUGUUAUUUAUGCUAUACCAUAGAUAGCACAAUGGUUCAACAGUUGAGUGGUUACCCCCAAAAAAUAUACUUCCAAAUCUUCAAUUUAUUUCAUCUUUCUUUUCCCUAUACAUUAUCCAAUAUCCAUUGAUAAGAUUGGAAGAAUUUCAGUCGUCAGUAGGUGAGUCAGGAGUGGGUGCUGCUGCAACCCAACGUUGUUGGCAGCAGCACAUGAUAGUGGCUGGUGAUACAAAACCACAUUACCAUCCAACAUAACCGUACCCUGUGCAAGAUUCUAUCAGUUAGUUGUACAUUUUUGAAGUGAACUUGAAUAUAUGAGGUGAAUCAAGAGAUAAUAACAAUAUGAUUUUGAGAAUUUAUGGUGUUUAUCUAAUUACAAACUGCUAUAUUAGAAAUUUCUUUGACGCAACGUGUGCAUUGAGAUUAAAGGUCAUGUGGUGAAGCAGGAUGUGGAUGACCAAUAUCUGAAAAUUAAUGAUUACCAGGUGUGGAACGGAAUCAAAGCAGGUGGAUGGUGGUGACUGUAACAUAUGAUGGGAAGUGAAUUUAUUAGAAAGGGGUAAGAUGAGCUCUUUUUCUGUUUUAGAUCUGAUGUGGCAACAGUUAAUUUAUUUUUAUUUUCUUGGCAUCACAAUUCAAUGCAGAAAAACCCCUGUUAAAAGCCAAUUAGUUCACCAUUUCUUAAUAGUUAGCGACAAAGGAUACCACAAUCAACAUCCAAAGAGAAUCAUCCUCAAGAGGAAAAACAUGGGAUGUGUUUCUACAUGGAAUGCAGAAGAUUAAGCCAGGAAACUCUUCAUUUUUUUUUUAUAAUUUGUUGCAUAACAUGGUCUAAUGUGCAUAAAGGGAACAUGGGAAUAAACAAAGGGAGAUCAA